This 396-nucleotide small RNA is filed under the name Histoplasma ohiense. Its description in RNAcentral is "hypothetical lncRNA". The record is from RNAcentral. Lineage: Eukaryota; Fungi; Ascomycota; Eurotiomycetes; Onygenales; Ajellomycetaceae.
CAUCAGAAGCAUUAAUCCAACGAUACGAUGCAAUGUGCCUUGUCUUAGAUCACCGAUCAAGAUCCCACCGUGGCCUGUAGUCGCUGGCCUACCGAAGACUGAAUUGAAAAGACUUUGUCUGUCAUUUAUUUCCGAGAUUAAACGGAAAGAUAUAACUGGCAUCCGGUAUGCUAUGGGUAAAGAUAAUAAAAAGGAUCUCAAGUGGCAACCAUUUUCAUUGGAAGUACGGAGACUGGAGGUCAGAGAAAAUAUAGAUCCUGAGGACGCCGUGGGUGAGUUCCUCCAUGGGAUUGGUCGCCAGCUAAACAGCUCGGAAAAUAAAGAGCAAAUGUUUACAUCCGAUCAUCCAUAUGAGUUUCGUCUUUCCGCUUUAGAAGGCAAUGAAGAACUUAUGCC